RNAcentral lists this ribosomal RNA (301 nucleotides) under uncultured bacterium. RNAcentral describes it as "partial 16S ribosomal RNA". It matches the Rfam family "Bacterial small subunit ribosomal RNA", at positions 509 to 807 of the family's 1533-position model. The record is from RNAcentral.
CAGCCGCCGCGGUAAUACGUAGGGUACAAGCGUUAAUCGGAAUUACUGGGCGUAAAGCGUGCGCAGGCGGUUCGGAAAGAAAGAUGUGAAAUCCCAGAGCUUAACUUUGGAACUGCAUUUUUAACUACCGAGCUAGAGUGUGUCAGAGGGGGGUAGAAUUCCACGUGUAGCAGUGAAAUGCGUAGAUAUGUGGAGGAAUACCGAUGGCGAAGGCAGCCCCCUGGGAUAACACUGACGCUCAUGCACGAAAGCGUGGGGAGCAAACAGGAUUAGAUAUCCGUGUAGUCCCUGUCUCUUAUAC